GUUGGGCUCUCGUGCUGUGAAACAGGGAGGGGUCUCUCAGGCUGGGGCAUGCAUGAGGGCACAGAGAAGUGAUAUGGAGGGAUUUCCACGUCUGAUAAUAUGGUGCUUUGUGCCUGCUCCAGCUAAAAAUAACAAAAAAUGCUGGAUAGAAUUAAAAAAUAACAUGUUUCAAAGCAAUGAAGAGCUCACAGGGCAGUAAGAGAACGCUGAGUCCCAGAGGUGAGCAGGACACCAGGGCCCCUCAUGCCCUGAGAGCACUGGCCCCACUAAGCCAAAAGGACCUUUGGUUUCACAGUCUGUGGAGUGAGGAAGACAGAGCCUGAAGCCCAGCGUUCGUUGAGGAGAGGAGACACAGGGGCAGCCCCCAUGAUGCUGGGACCCCAAAGGACUCCACACUCCAGCUAGAGCCAGAGGAAACCCAGCCCCACCCCAUCAGACCCUCCCGGAACGGAGGGCAGGACACAGACCUCAGGCUUGAGGAUGGCCACAUCUCUGGAGCAGGCGUUGGCUACAGUCGUGAGCACCUUCCGGAAAUACGCAGAGCUCUCCGGGGCAAGCACGGGCUCUGCCAGGCAGGGCUCAAGGAGCUGCUACAGAAGGAGCUGCCCACCUGGACCCCGAUGGGGCUCCGAGAGGGUGACUACAGUGCGUUCAUGAGCGUCCUGGACACCGACAAGGACUGCAAGGUGGACUUUGUGGAGUACGUGUGCUCCCUGGCCUGCCUCUGCACUUUCUGCCAUGACUACUUCAAGGACGUGACCCCCGUGACCCCCUGCUCCCAGUAGGCUCUGCUCCUGAGGACAGGGGUCUGCUCGGGCAGGACCUGUCCCCCCACCCCCGUCCUGCACCUCCAGCAUCCCAGCUAGAGAGUCACAGAGCUGCUGCCCCCUCCCACGGCCGUGACUGUGGUGGGGAAGGGCACAUUCAGCCCCUAAUAAAGUGCUGGUGUCACUC
Molecule: RNA transcript, 954 nt
Organism: Prionailurus viverrinus (fishing cat)
Lineage: Eukaryota; Metazoa; Chordata; Mammalia; Carnivora; Felidae
Gene: S100A3
Gene name: S100 calcium binding protein A3
Exons: 3
Source: RefSeq, a predicted model, not a curated record